Molecule: small RNA, 114 nt
Filed under: Azomonas macrocytogenes
Lineage: Bacteria; Pseudomonadati; Pseudomonadota; Gammaproteobacteria; Pseudomonadales; Pseudomonadaceae
Description: Pseudomon-1/ErsA RNA
Rfam family: Pseudomon-1/ErsA RNA
About the family: Functions to regulate the AlgC enzyme. Based on this information, the new name ErsA for the RNA was adopted.
Source: Rfam by way of RNAcentral
AUGCUCUUUAAUUGUGUUAAGUGCUGGCAGAUUCCGGGCCCAAACCCUAGCGGUCCGGACUUGAACCUCGAACUUCUAUCCCCACUGAAGUUCGAGGUUUUUUAUUGCAUGCGG